Molecule: ribosomal RNA, 497 nt
Filed under: uncultured bacterium
Lineage: Bacteria
Description: partial 16S ribosomal RNA
Rfam family: Bacterial small subunit ribosomal RNA
Source: RNAcentral
GAUGAACGCUGGCGGCGUGCCUAAUACAUGCAAGUCGAGCGAACAGAUGAGGAUCUUGCUCCUCUGACGUUAGCGGCGGACGGGUGAGUAGCACGUGGAUAACCUACCUAUAAUACUGGUAUAACUUCGGGAAACCGGCUCUAAUACCGGAUAAUAUAUUGCACCGCAUUGUUCAAUAGUGAAAGACGGUUUUGCUGUCACUUAUAGAUGGAUCCGCGCCGCAUUAGCUAGUUGGUAAGGUAACGGCUUACCAAGGCAACGAUGCGUAGCCGACCUGAGAGGGUGAUCGGCCACACUGGAACUGAGACACGGUCCAGACUCCUAAGGGAGGCAGCAGUAGGGAAUCUUACGCAAUAGGCGAAAGCCUGACGGAGCAACGCCGCGUGAGAGAUGAAGGUCUUCGGAUCGUAAAACUCUGUUAUUAGGGAAGAACAAAUGUGUAAGUAAAUAUGCACGUAUUGACGGUACCUAAUCAGAAAGCCACGGCUAACUACGUG